This is a non-coding RNA of Podarcis lilfordi (Lilford's wall lizard), 76 nucleotides long. NCBI's taxonomy places the organism in Eukaryota, Metazoa, Chordata, Lepidosauria, Squamata, Lacertidae. The record is from the annotation of a GenBank genome assembly.
UCCUCAAAUAGCUCAGUUGGUAGAACAUGAGACUCUUAAUUUCAGGGUUGUGGGUUCGAGCCCCAUGUUGGGUGAA